GAUGAACGCUGGCGGCGUGCUUAACACAUGCAAGUCGAACGGAAAGGCCCAAGCUUGCUUGGGUACUCGAGUGGCGAACGGGUGAGUAACACGUGGGUGAUCUGCCCUGCACUUCGGGAUAAGCCUGGGAAACUGGGUCUAAUACCGGAUAGGACGAUGGUUUGGAUGCCAUUGUGGAAAGUUUUUUCGGUGUGGGAUGAGCUCGCGGCCUAUCAGCUUGUUGGUGGGGUAAUGGCCUACCAAGGCGUCGACGGGUAGCCGGCCUGAGAGGGUGUACGGCCACAUUGGGACUGAGAUACGGCCCAGACCCCUACGGGAGGCAGCAGGGGGGAAUAUUGCACAAUGGGCGCAAGCCUGAUGCAGCGACGCCGCGUGGGGGAUGACGGCCUUCGGGUUGUAAACUCCUUUCGCUAGGGACGAAGCGUUUUUGUGACGGUACCUGGAGAAGAAGCACCGGCUAACUACGUG
This 468-nucleotide ribosomal RNA is filed under the name uncultured bacterium. RNAcentral describes it as "partial 16S ribosomal RNA". It matches the Rfam family "Bacterial small subunit ribosomal RNA", at positions 28 to 507 of the family's 1533-position model. The record is from RNAcentral.